Molecule: non-coding RNA, 217 nt
Filed under: Clostridium kluyveri
Lineage: Bacteria; Bacillati; Bacillota; Clostridia; Eubacteriales; Clostridiaceae
Description: T-box sequence
Rfam family: T-box leader
About the family: Uncharged tRNA acts as the effector for transcription antitermination of genes in the T-box leader family.
Source: RNAcentral
AAAAAUGCAAAGAAGGGGACUAGUAAAUUUUAUAUUCUUUUUUAGAGAGGAAACAUCUGGUGAGAGUUUCUAAAGAAUUAUUUUGAACCUGCCCUGGAGUUUCUGUAUUUUAAUUAUUAGAGUGCAGCGGUGAUAAUCGUUAAAGUUUUAAGCGAGUAUAUUUGGUAUCAAAUAUAUUAAUCAGGGUGGUACCGCCGAUAUAACCUCGGUCCCUUUA